This 486-nucleotide ribosomal RNA is filed under the name uncultured bacterium. RNAcentral describes it as "partial 16S ribosomal RNA". It matches the Rfam family "Bacterial small subunit ribosomal RNA", at positions 28 to 507 of the family's 1533-position model. The record is from RNAcentral.
AUUGAACGCUGGCGGCAUGCCUUACACAUGCAAGUCGAACGGCAGCACGGGUGCUGGCACCUGGUGGCGCGUGGCGAAGGGGUGUGUAAUCCAUCGGAACAUGUCCUGUAGUGGGGGAUAGCCCGGCGAAAGCCGGAUUAAUACCGCAUACGCUCUGCGGGUGAGAGCGGGGGACCUUGGGGCCUCGCGCUAUGGGGUUGGCCGAUGGCGGAUUAGCUAGUUGGUGGGGUAAAGGCCUACCAAGGCGACGAUCAGUAUCUGGUCUGAGAGGAAGACCAGCCACACUGGGACUGAGACACGGCCCAGACUCCUACGGGAGGCAGCAGUGGGGAAUUUUGGACAAUGGGCGAAAGCCUGAUCCAGCAAUGCCGCGUGUGUGAAGAAGGCCUUCGGGUUGUAAAGCACUUUUGUCCGGAAAGAAAUCCUUGGCCCUAAUACGGUCGGGGGAUGACGGUACCGGAAGAAUAAGCACCGGCUAACUACGUG